UACAGGGGGGGCAAGCGUUGUUCGGAAUUACUGGGCGUAAAGGGUCUGUAGGUGGCCAACUAAGUCAGACGUGAAAUCCCUCAGCUUAACUGGGGAACUGCGUCUGAUACUGGAUGGCUCGAGUGUGGGAGAGGAAUGCGGAAUUCCAGGUGUAGCGGUGAAAUGCGUAGAUACCUGGAGGAACACCGGUGGCGAAGGCGGCAUUCUGGACCAUAACUGACACUGAGAGACGAAAGCCAGGGGAGCAAACGGG
This 253-nucleotide ribosomal RNA is filed under the name uncultured bacterium. Its description in RNAcentral is "partial 16S ribosomal RNA". It matches the Rfam family "Bacterial small subunit ribosomal RNA", at positions 524 to 776 of the family's 1533-position model. The record is from RNAcentral.